UGAUUAGUGAGACUGGAAGGAGAAACUAAUUGCACAGCCCAGGCCCGCUCCCUUCAAAACUCUUGGUGUGUCCAGUGUCCUGUCUGGCAGACAAGUGGCUUUGAUCUCACCCUUCAGGAUCUCAAAGGAAUCACUCUUCUCUCAUGUGAAACAAGGAAAUAAGAUAAGGGGACAGGAAAACAUGGGAAACACGGGAAACGGAGUCAGUGCGUCCCGCAUGGCUUUUCAAAUGUGGAAACAACUUCGGACAACUUAACUCCAGCAGAUGCAGCCUCUCUAAGAUGAAAGAUUCUCAAACUCCAUUGGUGUCUGCAGCUCUCAGAAGAAAAAGACAAAGAACAGGCUGAAAGAGAAGAUCAUGUAGUCCAUUACCAUCACCUUUUGGCAUUGAAUAACUGGCUCUGGCUUUGCUCAAAGAACCACAGAUCUCCACGCCAUGUGACAUAAGAGCAGAAAACAUAAAGAUCAGCAAAUUUCCUUGUCUCUGCCUCUGCAUAUUUUUGUCAUUAUCUCUGAAGUUUCUCAUUUUGUACAGGUUUUGUAAGUAGCCUUUACUGUAAAUACCCUAUACUAUGUGACAGGGAUUGUGUUAAGUGCUCUACUUGAGUCAUCUAAUCCUCAGCACACGUCUCUGAGGUAGGUGCCACUUUUAUACCUGUUUUACCGAAGAGGAAGUAGAGGCUGAAGGGGUUUGUCUGCAGCACCAGCUAAUUAUAAGUGACAAGGCUGGGACUCAAACCCACACCAUAUGACCCCCAGACACUCACUCUCCCCUUUGAUGUUCCCUGGUGGGCAUAGAGUGUGACAGUCCUUUGUGGUCCUGGGUGUACAACUUGGUGAGAUGGAAUGAUUUCUCCUGGCUACUUCAAAUUUCCCCUAGCUUAACAUGAACUUUGAGGCUGCAGCCUGGUGGAGAGUCAACACAACCAAGCCUCUUAACAUUUCAUAAGUAGCCUGAUGACACACUUGUAUAGAGUAGAGGAAUCCUUUACACGUCAGCAAAUAA
Molecule: long non-coding RNA, 1006 nt
Organism: Eubalaena glacialis (North Atlantic right whale)
Lineage: Eukaryota; Metazoa; Chordata; Mammalia; Artiodactyla; Balaenidae
Exons: 3
Source: RefSeq, a predicted model, not a curated record